GUGGGGAAUAUUGGACAAUGGGCGAAAGCCUGAUCCAGCCAUGCCGCGUGUGUGAAGAAGGUCUUCGGAUUGUAAAGCACUUUAAGUUGGGAGGAAGGGCAGUAAGUUAAUACCUUGCUGUUUUGACGUUACCGACAGAAUAAGCACCGGCUAACUUCGUGCCAGCAGCCGCGGUAAUACGAAGGGUGCAAGCGUUAAUCGGAAUUACUGGGCGUAAAGCGCGCGUAGGUGGUUUUGUAAGUUGGAGGUGAAAUCCCCGGGCUCAACCUGGGAACUGCCUCCAAAACUGGCGAGCUAGAGUACGGUAGAGGGUGGUGGAAUUUCCUGUGUAGCGGUGAAAUGCGUAGAUAUAGGAAGGAACACCAGUGGCGAAGGCGACCACCUGGACUGAUACUGACACUGAGGUGCGAAAGCGUGGGGAGCAAACAGGAUUAGAAACCCGGGUAGUCC
RNAcentral lists this ribosomal RNA (450 nucleotides) under uncultured bacterium. RNAcentral describes it as "partial 16S ribosomal RNA". It matches the Rfam family "Bacterial small subunit ribosomal RNA", at positions 354 to 796 of the family's 1533-position model. The record is from RNAcentral.